GAAAUGCGAUAAGUAAUGUGAAUUGCAGAAUUCAGUGAAUCAUCGAAUCUUUGAACGCACAUUGCGCCCGCCAGCACUCUGGCGGGCAUGCCUGUUCGAGCGUCAUUUCAACCCUCAGAAUCCCUUGCGGGAUCUGGCGUUGGGGAUUGGCAUCCAGCCAGCCCCGAAAUCUAGUGGCGGUCCCUCCGCGACCUCCCCUGUGCAGUAGCGAUACCUCGCAGCGGGACAGCGGUCUGACCACGCCGUAAAACCCCCAACUUCUCAAGGUUGACCUCGAAUCAGGUAGGAAUAUCCGCAGAACUUAGGC
RNAcentral lists this unclassified non-coding RNA (307 nucleotides) under plant metagenome. RNAcentral describes it as "partial contains 5.8S ribosomal RNA, internal transcribed spacer 2, and large subunit ribosomal RNA". The stretch from base 1 to 105 matches the Rfam family "5.8S ribosomal RNA", at positions 50 to 154 of the family's 154-position model. The record is from RNAcentral.